UACGGAGGAUGCGAGCGUUAUCCGGAUUUAUUGGGUUUAAAGGGUGCGUAGGCGGGCAUUUAAGCCGGCGGUCAAAUGUCGGGGCUCAACCCCGGCCUGCCGUCGGAACUGGGUGCCUUGAGUGCGCGAAGGGUAGGCGGAAUGCGUGGUGUAGCGGUGAAAUGCAUAGAUAUCACGCAGAACUCCGAUCGCGAAGGCAGCAUACCGGCGCCCAACUGACGCUGAGGCACGAAAGCGUGGGUAUCGAACAGG
RNAcentral lists this ribosomal RNA (252 nucleotides) under uncultured Bacteroidales bacterium. RNAcentral describes it as "partial 16S ribosomal RNA". It matches the Rfam family "Bacterial small subunit ribosomal RNA", at positions 524 to 776 of the family's 1533-position model. The record is from RNAcentral. Lineage: Bacteria; Pseudomonadati; Bacteroidota; Bacteroidia; Bacteroidales.